GAUGAACGCUGGCGGCGUGCCUAAUACAUGCCAGUCGAACGCUGAAGGAGGAGCUUGCUCUUCUGGAUGAGUUGCGAACGGGUGAGUAACGCGUAGGUAACCUGCCUGGUAGCGGGGGAUAACUAUUGGAAACGAUAGCUAAUACCGCAUGACAACAGUUAUUGCAUGAUAACUGUUUAAAAGGGGCAACUGCUCCACUACCAGAUGGACCUGCGUUGUAUUAGCUAGUUGGUGAGGUAACGGCUCACCAAGGCGACGAUACAUAGCCGACCUGAGAGGGUGAUCGGCCACACUGGGACUGGGACACGGCCCAGACUCCUACGGGAGGCAGCAGUAGGGAAUCUUCGGCAAUGGACGGAAGUCUGACCGAGCAACGCCGCGUGAGUGAAGAAGGUUUUCGGAUCGUAAAGCUCUGUUGUAAGAGAAGAACGAGUGUGAGAGUGGAAAGUUCACACUGUGACGGUAUCUUACCAGAAAGGGACGGCUAACUACGUG
RNAcentral lists this ribosomal RNA (495 nucleotides) under uncultured bacterium. RNAcentral's name for it is "partial 16S ribosomal RNA". It matches the Rfam family "Bacterial small subunit ribosomal RNA", at positions 28 to 507 of the family's 1533-position model. The record is from RNAcentral.